RNAcentral lists this ribosomal RNA (700 nucleotides) under uncultured bacterium. RNAcentral describes it as "bacterial SSU rRNA". It matches the Rfam family "Bacterial small subunit ribosomal RNA", at positions 123 to 818 of the family's 1533-position model. The record is from RNAcentral.
AACGUGCCCAUUAGUGGGGGAUAGCCCGGCGAAAGCCGGAUUAAUACCGCAUACGACCUGAGGGUGAAAGCGGGGGAUCGCAAGACCUCGCGCUAUUGGAGCGGCCGAUAUCAGAUUAGCUAGUUGGUGGGGUAAAAGCCUACCAAGGCAACGAUCUGUAAUUGGUCUGAGAGGACGACCAGCCACACUGGGACUGAGACACGGCCCAGACUCCUACGGGAGGCAGCAGUGGGGAAUUUUGGACAAUGGGCGCAAGCCUGAUCCAGCAAUGCCGCGUGCAGGAAGAAGGCCUUCGGGUUGUAAACUGCUUUUGUCAGGGAAGAAAUCCUUUGGGUUAAUACCUCGAAGGGAUGACGGUACCUGAAGAAUAAGCACCGGCUAACUACGUGCCAGCAGCCGCGGUAAUACGUAGGGUGCGAGCGUUAAUCGGAAUUACUGGGCGUAAAGCGUGCGCAGGCGGCUUUGCAAGACAGAGGUGAAAUCCCCGGGCUCAACCUGGGAACUGCCUUUGUGACUGCAAGGCUAGAGUACGGCAGAGGGGGAUGGAAUUCCGCGUGUAGCAGUGAAAUGCGUAGAUAUGCGGAGGAACACCGAUGGCGAAGGCAAUCCCCUGGGCCUGUACUGACGCUCAUGCACGAAAGCGUGGGGAGCAAACAGGAUUAGAUACUCUGGUAGUCCACGCCCUAAACGAUGUCAACUG